RNAcentral lists this ribosomal RNA (437 nucleotides) under uncultured bacterium. RNAcentral's name for it is "bacterial SSU rRNA". It matches the Rfam family "Bacterial small subunit ribosomal RNA", at positions 957 to 1392 of the family's 1533-position model. The record is from RNAcentral.
GAACGCGAAGAACCUUACCUGGACUUGACAUCCCCCGGACGGCUUUUUAACCGGAGCUUUCCCUUCGGGGACUGGGGAGACAGGUGGUGCAUGGUUGUCGUCAGCUCGUGUCGUGAGAUGUUGGGUUAAGUCCCGCAACGAGCGCAACCCUUGCCUUUAGUUGCCAGCACUUUGGAUGGGCACUCUAGAGGGACUGCCGGGGACAACUCGGAGGAAGGUGGGGAUGACGUCAAAUCAUCAUGCCCCUUAUGUUCAGGGCUACACACGUGCUACAAUGGCCGAUACAAAGGGCAGCGAAGGAGUAAUCUGGAGCCAAUCCCAGAAAAUCGGUCCCAGUUCGGAUUGUGGGCUGCAACUCGCCCACAUGAAGUCGGAGUUGCUAGUAAUCGCGAAUCAGAAUGUCGCGGUGAAUGCGUUCCCGGGUCUUGUACACACCG